This 277-nucleotide long non-coding RNA is filed under the name Physcomitrium patens. RNAcentral describes it as "long non-coding RNA (PPAT_LNC001616)". The record is from RNAcentral. Lineage: Eukaryota; Viridiplantae; Streptophyta; Bryopsida; Funariales; Funariaceae.
GAUUGUGACUAAGUUUUGGAAUGUAUAUUUGCUUGUAUACAUUCUUUUCACUUGUUUGUGUUGUUUCUUCUUUUGUUCUUGUUCAUUGCAUCUUCUACUUUACACUACCCAUUAUAAGUAACUCUUAAUUGAGGCCAUCUUGUAAUUUGGAUAGAGGGAUGAAAUUUACACUCAUAAAUGUUAAGUUGGGAUAUAUUUAAAAUGACACAUUAAUAACCCAUAAGAGUAUGAAUAAUAAUUUUAAUAACCAAACUGCUAAGUAAUUGAAUAUGGAAGA